ACUAUAUGCUUGGUGGACUUCUGUAUUGCAUAGAGAAUCGCUUACACUGUUCACCAUGAGAAGUCCUCCAUGCCUGAAGUCUUUGUUAGCCAUCAGCAAUGAUUCGAUCAAAAUUGCCAAUCCUGGCCAACCUUCUGUUCUGCUACAAAGAUUCUUCAUUCCUGUUGAAUUUCAUGGAUUUAGUGCGGUUUUGUCCAAAGAUGAACUAG
This 209-nucleotide unclassified non-coding RNA is filed under the name Hevea brasiliensis (rubber tree). The record is from RNAcentral. Lineage: Eukaryota; Viridiplantae; Streptophyta; Magnoliopsida; Malpighiales; Euphorbiaceae.